RNAcentral lists this ribosomal RNA (473 nucleotides) under uncultured Pelotomaculum sp. RNAcentral describes it as "bacterial SSU rRNA". It matches the Rfam family "Bacterial small subunit ribosomal RNA", at positions 918 to 1380 of the family's 1533-position model. The record is from RNAcentral. Lineage: Bacteria; Bacillati; Bacillota; Clostridia; Eubacteriales; Desulfotomaculaceae.
ACGGGCCGCACAAGCGGUGGAGCAUGUGUUUAAUUCGACGACACGACGAAGUAACCUUACCGAGGGCUUGACACUCCCCUCGACCGCGUAUGAAAGUUACGUUUUCACCCUCGGGUGACAGGGAGACAGGUGGUGCAUGGUUGUCGUCAGCUCGUGUCGUGAGAUGUUGGUUAAGUCCCGCAACGAGCGCAACCCCUACGUUUAGUUGCUAACGCGUGAAGGCGAGCACUCUAGACGAACUGCCGUUGACAAAACGGAGGAAGGUGGGGAUGACGUCAAAUCAUCAUGCCCCUUAUGUUCUGGGCUACACACGUGCUACAAUGGCCGGUACAGACGGACGCAAAGCCGCGAGGUGGAGCAAAUCCUAAAAAGCCGGUCUCAGUUCGGAUUGCAGGCUGCAAUUCGCCUGCAUGAAGUCGGAAUCGCUAGUAAUCGCGGAUCAGCAUGCCGCGGUGAAUACGUUCCCGGGCCUU